CACUUCAAAUAUACAUAUACACACAUAUAUGUGCAUAAAAGAGAAGCUGAACUUUGAUGUACAAUAAAAUCAUGAAUAUCAUGUGAACAAGUAAGCUUCAUAGCUCCCUCACUACCAUUGUCAAGGUCAAUGGAACCUUAGUAAAAGUGGUAUUGGAUGUUAUUGUAGCCCAAGAAGUUCAGCUAAUUUCCAUUUCUUUCCUUCAACUCCUCCUCUUUGCCUCAUACACAGAUCCUCCUGCUCUGCUGAUACUCUUUGUAUAAUUGACUCAGUUGGCCUGUCUGGAUGGCUUUGGUUUGGGGUGCCUCUACUUCUCAGGUUUCCUAACUCAGUUCCACACAGAGACUGCCAGAGGGAAAGUGCUUCCUCCAAGUGUUGUUCAGGUUCUUAGUCACGAGGCACAGACCCCUGCACUAUGUCCAAGUACAGGGUUUUCUCAGGGGAAAUUGACCAACAUUUGACUGGGCCAAUGGUGUUUCUGGCAACUAACUAUAUUUAGUUGGUUAACUAAAUAAUCUUCAAAACUAGACAUGGAUUACCAGUUUCCAAAUAAUGUGAGUAUAAGGACAUACAUAGUCUUAAAAAGCCAAUUGAAUUUAAUUUUUCCAGGAAGAAGAAGGCAUUUAAAAUUUUACAAUGCUUCACUAUCAGAUACACUGAGUAGGUGCAGAACAUGUAGAAGAUAUUGAGAGGCCAUGUAUACCCAUUCAUGGUAUUAUCUUAAAUCUAUGUUGUAUGAUUAAAGCUUCAUUUUUUCCAAAAAACAUCUAUAUUGAAAAAAUAUACCCACAACUCCUAUCAUGGUGGCUGACACGUCCACAUCCCUUAAGGUCCUGGAAAUUCCUUUGAAAACAAAUUUCUUCAAGAAGGGUAAGUAAGCCACUAUCAUCUAUUACUUGAAUCUUUGGCUUGACUCAGUGGGUGUCUAGCCAUCCAUCCAAAAUAUCCUUUGGAAGUAGAAUGUAGGACAGCGAGAUGCUGAUGGAAAAAGAGAACAGAAGAUCUAAUGUUCCUAGGAGAGCACAUGUGAAUGGUGUCAUUAGGAGGUGUUUGUACACUGAGAGUUUUCAGGACUGUUACUAAAGGAGAAGAGGAGAUUUCAGAUUAAGGGACAUGAGAAAUAAGCUUUUCUAACUUUUUUUGAAGUAAAUUUGCCUUGGAAAAGUCCCCAAAAUAACUCUCCCAGAGUCACAGAAUCUCAGAGUCAAGAGACCUUGCUAGUCUUGUACGCAACGAGGUGCCACAUGUUGUAUGGCUGACUGGCUCCUCUUAAAAAAAACACAGCUUAAAGUAGAAAUAAAAAAUGUCAUUUCCCAGACCCCACCCAAGGUCUAGUGAAUAAGAAUCUCCAAGGUUGGGCCCAGAAAUAAAUAAAAAAUAUUUAUUUUUAACUUUUAUUUUGGAAAUUUUGGAACAUAUACAAAGGUAGGGAGGCAAGUAUAUAAUGAGUCCCUCAUGUACCCAUCAUUCAGAUUCAACAAUGACCAACUCAGGGCUACUCUCGUUUCAUUUAUACCCACAAUCACCCUCCUUCCCCCAACCCUGGACUAUUUUGAAGUAAAUCCCAAGCAUUGUAUCAUUUUAUCCAUACAUAGUCCAGCAGAUGUCUCUAAAGGACUCAAAAAAAUCAACCACAAUUAUGAUAGCUAACACAUUAAAAAGAACUUCUUUAAAAAAAACCCCAAAUAUCCAGUUUUCAAAAUUCCCAUAUUAUCCUUUAAUUCUUAAAUAAACAUUAAAAAAAAUAAAUCAGGAUAAAACAAGGCCCUUAAUUCCAGUUGGCUGCUGUGUCUCUUAAGUCUCUUUAAAUUUGUAGGUUCCCCUCUUCUCUUUUUCUUUGGCUUCUUCUAAUUUUUAUAUUGAAGACAUUAGCUGUUCCUCUUGCAGGAUUUUCCACACUAUGGAUUUUGCUAAAUGACUCUCCAUGGUGCCAUUUAAUCUAUUUCACUGCCCCCAUACUGAAUUCAAUUGGUAGUUGGAACUAGGGGCUACAUCAGAUAAGGUUUGCUUUUCUGGCAAAUUUACUGCACAGAUGAUGUUGUACUUUCAUCAAAAAGCACAUGAUCUCUCAUUGUCACUCUUUUUAUGAUGUUACCUGUCUCUAGUAAUCAUUGCACAGAUCCAAGAACUCGUUAGGAGUAGUGCAAUGGGAAUAGUGUAUCAGUCUUUUUCGUAUGUAUUAACUAUAGCAUUUUAAUAAGGAGAGAGUUCUUUUUGAUCACUCUGAGAUAGGACAAAUGCCAAGAGGGUCUAUAUAAGAGAUUCCCCAGGUGAUUUUGACAGGCAUUUUGAUUUAGGAAUCACAGCCAAGUCAUUGCCUCUCUAACACUUGAAUUGCUCUGCAAAUGCUCCAUUUGACUUGUGCCAUGGAUGAAAAAUUCACAACCACAUCAUCAGACAGUUCAUUCCAUCUCUGGAGGUCCAUACUGUGAAAAGCUGUCUUCAUAUUAGGUCCCCAAAUUCCCUCAGUUUCUUCCUACUAGGCUUAAAUAAUCUGGAAGCAUGAAUUCAAUUCAUCUUGUCCAUGACUGCCUUUCAUUAUCAAGAAAUAGUUAUUGUCUCUCCACCCCACUUUUCUCUCCAGACUGAACAUUCCCAUUAUCCUUUUGGAAGUUGUAUAUGAAUGUGAGGGUUUUAAAGAAAUAAUUUUAAACAGCCUGUGGAUUUUUGUUUCUCUCAUUCUCACAAAUGUGCCAUGCAGAAAUAAUUGCUUUUCAGGUUAUUUAUGUGCCAGGUAAGAGUAUGUCUGUAUGCAUGCAUUUCUUUCCCCUUAUUAUUUUAUAGAUAAUAUUGAGAAAUGCUUGAAAACUGACCUAUUUUAAGCUUGAAAACAUUUAUUUGUUUUUGAAAUUUUGGGUCAUUUUAUGGAUUACUACCUGUAUUUCUCUUCUCAUUCAUAUUACGAAAUGAAUUUGCUUUGAGCAUGAAACAAAAAUUUCCUUUAAUAGAGUCUUUGCUGUACCAUCGCAUGAAAUAAUCUCUCACUAGAAAUCCCUCCUAUGGUCCUCGCCCAGUGAGAACACAAGAGAUGUUCACAUUGAGAGGGAGAGGAAGAAAGGAGGGAGAACUGGAGAGAGGUGGGAGGGGAAGGAUGGGGAGCAGGAAGAGUGAGAGGCAAAGAUAAUCUGCCCAUUUUACUGUUCUGCUACGCUGCUGCUUUGGCAGCUCUGGGUUGGGCAAAUGAGGCAAUGAAUUCUCUUAGGGCAGAGACCCUAUCUAAUCAAGAAUAUUUUCCCUGAGGGCCCUGCAGUCAACCAUAGAUUUUGCAAAUGCAGGAGUACAGGUUGCCUCAAGCUACUUUGUGGCUCUUUGGCUCCAAUCAAAUACUUCUUGCAAAUACCUCAUCUAUCUUAAUAAUAUCCCAUUCCUGUUUUUCCAGUCCUCUCUCCAAGAGUGAUAUAAUCCAUUUUUAGGAUGUCAAAUGCCACCAAAUGCCUACAGUUCCAAAAUUUACUUAUUUAUCUCUGACAUAUACACAUAUCCAAACGUGUACUUUAUUUAUAGGAGAAAACGGCAAUUCUACCCUUUGAUUGGUACAGGGCCAAAGCAUAUGUAUCUUCCUUUACUCAGCAACAUAUAAUAUCUUUGGCUAGACAUCCUGGAAGGUCCAUUUUUAUCAAAAGCUUAUUGUAGAAAUUGCACUAAUAGAGGUCAUUUAGUCUAACUGUUCCCUUGGCAGGAAAAAUUUUGCCUAUCCUCCAGUAAAUCCAGACCGUGAAAUAACUGUGUCCUUGAAUGACAUUUUUCUGGCUCCAGACAGCGAGUUCUUGCUGACCCGCAUUGACACUGUUGCACCAUGUUUCAGUACUGUCACUGGCAGUUUACCUACUACGGGGCUGUUGAGGAUAUUGCUCAUCACAUCACUCUUUCCUUUGAACAAACACCAACCAGGAGACAUUUCCUGUUCUUCAUAUUUCAACAAGUAAUGUUCCUCCAAACAUAGUACCUCACCGACAGUAUGAUUCUGUGUUGAUCAUUUCCCUCUCAUGGCUUUAAUAACUCAGAAGGUCAAAGUCAAAUUUCCGGCUUAUGCAAAGCAUGUAAGUUUUUUCUGCUAAUGUGAUCAUGAACAUAAUGAUUUCCUUGCUAACUUUUCACAUUGUUCUGACUCUUUCAUUUGUACGUACUAUCCCUUUGUAUCACAAUUUUCUAACUUGCCUCAAAUACUUUGUAAAACGAUAAAUACAUAAAUAUACAUGUGAUACAUGGUACUUGCAACACUGUAUUAUAGUUAUUUUCUUAUCCGUGUCUCUUGUAUUGGACAGUGGUCGUCUUGAGGGCCAGGACUUUGUUUUACAUCUCCAGUGUCUAGCAUACUAUUUGGGUCAUCUCAUUAGCAUUAGCACCCACUGAACUAUGGAUUCAGUGCUGAGCUGAGCACUGAGCUAAACUGCUUACACUAUAGUUCAUUUAACCUUUACUAGGGUUUGGCCUCUAGAUGGCGCUCUAGGCCUCCCUGACUCCUGCUCUCCCCUCCCUCCAAAUGCCCUAAGAAGUGUAGAUACAGAGGGUCAAGUUACAGGACAGUUACUAAUCCAUGCUCAUGUUCCUUCUCUCUGUCUCUCUCUCAGCCAUGUUUUAGGAAUUUCCUCAUUUCUCCUACAGAACGGCUGUCAACAGUAGCGAUUCUCUGACUCCAGGAAUACGACGUUGCUCUGCGCACAGAAUUACAGUAGUUAGCCCUGACCAGUGAGAAAGGAGGGGAGGGCGACUGGAGCGCUGGGUUGCUAUGACAGCAGCGUCUUAACACUUCAAACCUUCUUCCCCCUUCCCAGCGCAGGUGCUGAAAUUGUCAGAGUGAAAUAAGCUCCUCUUCCCCGGUACAACACAGCGGGGACCGGGGAUGGGGAAGUGUUAAGCUUUGAGUCCCGGGGGCGUGCCAAGGCCUCAAAGAACGUGAAAUCAGUCUGGAGGGGUAUUGCGUGGGCGAUCCUCCCCAACCCGGCCACAGCGGGGCCACUGCAGAACAAGCUGCGAGGCUGCCCCCCGGCCGGGCGCAGUUCCAGGAGGGGCUCCCCCUGCUCCCAGCCGCCAGGGCGAGGCUCCGAGGAUGCCGAACGGUUUCCCGUCUGAAGAGAAACACCAGGUAAGGCAGGAACUCCAGAUGGCCUGCUCCUCCACACAGGGAUGCACGCUCCUGCAGGUAGCACCCCUUCCUGCCCACCGCUCGGUGAUCAGAGGAAGAAAUAUCGCUGACUCCCUUUCAGUCCUGGAGACUUAUUGCUUUAUAACUGAUGGAAAACAGGACUUUAGGAGCUCUUUUUUUCUCAUUUUUUCGUAAUAGAAGAAAUUGAGGAAUGAGUUAACCAUCACAUCAGGACUUGCAUGAAACCGUCAUGAAAGCAUUAGGACGAUUUCCCGUUUGGAAGAGGCAAUUUGUCACAGCUCCCUGUCCC
This is a long non-coding RNA of Manis pentadactyla (Chinese pangolin), 5396 nucleotides long. RefSeq lists it as uncharacterized. The record is from RefSeq and is a predicted model, not a curated record. The transcript has 3 exons. Lineage: Eukaryota; Metazoa; Chordata; Mammalia; Pholidota; Manidae.